This 468-nucleotide ribosomal RNA is filed under the name uncultured bacterium. RNAcentral's name for it is "partial 16S ribosomal RNA". It matches the Rfam family "Bacterial small subunit ribosomal RNA", at positions 28 to 507 of the family's 1533-position model. The record is from RNAcentral.
GAUGAACGCUGGCGGCGUGCUUAACACAUGCAAGUCGAACGGAAAGGCCCAAGCUUGCUUGGGUACUCGAGUGGCGAACGGGUGAGUAACACGUGGGUGAUCUGCCCUGCACUUCGGGAUAAGCCUGGGAAACUGGGUCUAAUACCGGAUAGGACGAUGGUUUGGAUGCCAUUGUGGAAAGUUUUUUCGGUGUGGGAUGAGCUCGCGGCCUAUCAGCUUGUUGGUGGGGUAAUGGCCUACCAAGGCGUCGACGGGUAGCCGGCCUGAGAGGGUGUACGGCCACAGUGGGACUGAGAUACGGCCCAGACUCCUACGGGAGGCAGCAGGGGGGAAUAUUGCACAAUGGGCGCAAGCCUGAUGCAGCGACGCCGCGUGGGGGAUGACGGCCUUCGGGUUGUAAACUCCUUUCGCUAGGGACGAAGCGUUUUUGUGACGGUACCUGGAGAAGAAGCACCGGCUAACUACGUG